RNAcentral lists this ribosomal RNA (254 nucleotides) under uncultured bacterium. RNAcentral describes it as "partial 16S ribosomal RNA". It matches the Rfam family "Bacterial small subunit ribosomal RNA", at positions 524 to 776 of the family's 1533-position model. The record is from RNAcentral.
CACGUAGGGGGCAAGCGUUGUCCGGAUUUAUUGGGCGUAAAGAGCUCGUAGGCGGUUCGGUAAGUCGGGUGUGAAACCUCCAGGCUCAACCUGGAGACGCCACCCGAUACUGCUGUGACUAGAGUCCGGUAGGGGAGCGUGGAAUUCCUGGUGUAGCGGUGGAAUGCGCAGAUAUCAGGAGGAACACCGAUGGCGAAGGCAGCUCGCUGGGACGGUACUGACGCUGAGGCGCGAAAGCGUGGGGAGCGAACAGG